This 101-nucleotide ribosomal RNA is filed under the name Lactiplantibacillus plantarum. Its description in RNAcentral is "partial 16S ribosomal RNA". It matches the Rfam family "Bacterial small subunit ribosomal RNA", at positions 1 to 99 of the family's 1533-position model. Lineage: Bacteria; Bacillati; Bacillota; Bacilli; Lactobacillales; Lactobacillaceae. The record is from RNAcentral.
UAAUUUGAGAGUUUGAUCCUGGCUCAGGACGAACGCUGGCGGCGUGCCUAAUACAUGCAAGUCGAACGAACUCUGGUAUUGAUUGGUGCUUGCAUCAUGAU